UACGACCUGAACCUCAGUCGUGAGCUGUCCAAGCCCCAGAAGGUGCCUAUCUCAGAGCGCUAUGUGGAGUCAGACCCCGGGGAGCCUCUGAGCCAGGAGCAGAUGGAGGAGCGUCAACGCAGAGCAGAACGCAUAAGAAACAUCCUGGACAAAUCCAAUGUUCAGAACACACAUCCGUCGUCUGCGUGGCUGUCCC
Molecule: long non-coding RNA, 196 nt
Organism: Oncorhynchus gorbuscha (pink salmon)
Lineage: Eukaryota; Metazoa; Chordata; Actinopteri; Salmoniformes; Salmonidae
Exons: 3
Source: RefSeq, a predicted model, not a curated record